UACGUAGGGGGCGAGCGUUGUCCGGAAUCAUUGGGCGUAAAGAGCGUGUAGGUGGACUGGAAGGUCUGGUGUGAAAGCCCGGGGCUCAACCCCGGAGGGUCACUGGAAACCAACAGUCUUGAGUCCGGAAGAGGAGAGUGGAAUUCCUAGUGUAGCGGUGGAAUGCGCAGAUAUUAGGAGGAACACCAAUAGCGAAGGCAGCUCGCUGGGACGUUACUGACACUGAGGCGCGAAAGCGUGGGGAGCGAACAGG
Molecule: ribosomal RNA, 253 nt
Filed under: uncultured bacterium
Lineage: Bacteria
Description: partial 16S ribosomal RNA
Rfam family: Bacterial small subunit ribosomal RNA
Source: RNAcentral